AUUGAACGCUGGCGGAAUGCUUUACACAUGCAAGUCGAACGGCAGCACGGACUUCGGUCUGAUGGCGAGUGGCGAACGGGUGAGUAAUGUAUCGGAACGUGCCCAGUCGUGGGGGAUAACGUAGUGAAAAUUACGCUAAUACCGCAUACGAUCUAUGGAUGAAAGCGGGGGAUCGCAAGACCUCGCGCGAUUGGAGCGGCCGAUAUCAGAUUAGGUAGUUGGUGGGGUAAAGGCCCACCAAGCCAACGAUCUGUAGCUGGUCUGAGAGGACGACCAGCCACACUAGAACUGAGACACGGUCCAGACUCCUACGGGAGGCAGCAGUGGGGAAUUUUAGACAAUGGGCGAAAGCCUGAUCCAGCCAUUCCGCGUGCAGGAUGAAGGCCCUCGGGUUGUAAACUGCUUUUGUACAGAACGAAAAGGUUUCUACUAAUACUAGGAGCUCAUGACGGUACUGUAAGAAUAAGCACCGGCUAACUACGUGCCAGCCGCCGCCGUAA
This 500-nucleotide ribosomal RNA is filed under the name uncultured bacterium. RNAcentral's name for it is "partial 16S ribosomal RNA". It matches the Rfam family "Bacterial small subunit ribosomal RNA", at positions 30 to 523 of the family's 1533-position model. The record is from RNAcentral.